GGAACCAAACGAACCCUGAAAGAUCAACUCUCAAACGCCUCUUCUUGGCAAACUUUCAACGAGUUGCUGAGUCUUCCAGACGAUGUUCGCCCAUUUUGGGCAAUAACAUAAAUGUUUCUUGCCUUCUUCCUUCAGUGGGUUGGAUUCCCAAACGGUAACAUGCUCUUUUUUCAUUUUUUUUCUUUUCAAUUUUCACUUGGCUUCUCUAGUAAGAUUAGAAAUUCGAAUUCCCGCUUAAAGUUGAGACCCUAACUUUCUCCCCUAUAAAUGCUUGAAUUUGGAACCCUAGAAGGGGGGAAAAAGGGAGCCUCCAGUGCCCUGAAAUUUUCACAAUCGGAGAGGUUUUUUUGGACACCCACAAAAUAGGUUUUUACAUCUACAUUAAGUUUGAACACUCCCAGGUUCUGAACCUUUCAAUUACUUGGCUCUAAAGAAGAAAAUUUUCUCUUAUAAGUCUAGUUCUUGAAUUAUCGGAACAAGUUAAAAUAUUUUUUUUGAGUUCGAGUUAGUUGUCGCAUUGGUUCGAAGGUGAUUCACAACUCUCGUCGCCCCCGUCGCUACUCGACAAAAAGUUUGAGGCAAUCUGGAGACUCGAGAAUGCAGUUUUGAUUUAUUGGGAAGUGUGCUUGAAUUGUGAAUUUGAGAUACUGUUGUUGAGAACGAGGCUGGUAAUUGAAGACUUCGUGAGUGGAUUCUGUUGCUGAGGUGAGCCACCGCAUUGUUCGUGGAGGCAGCCAUUUUCAGUUUUAUCUAGUUUAUUUCUAGUUAUGUCUUUUAUUUUGGGUUUACAUGCCCGACACUCAAACUCAUGUAACUCUGUUAGAUGCUCCAUGGUCUUAGCGUGGGAUGUGGGCUAGAGAUUCUUUUUAUCUUAGCGUUGAUUGGUUUUCAUAAAUCGAUUAUGGAUUUGGUUGGCGACUAUUUCGCAUUUUUAUCAUUAAUAACGUUGUUGGA
Molecule: long non-coding RNA, 954 nt
Organism: Lycium barbarum (goji berry)
Lineage: Eukaryota; Viridiplantae; Streptophyta; Magnoliopsida; Solanales; Solanaceae
Exons: 3
Source: RefSeq, a predicted model, not a curated record